GAUGAACGCUAGCUACAGGCUUAACACAUGCAAGUCGAGGGGAAACGACAUCGAAAGCUUGCUUUUGAUGGGCGUCGACCGGCGCACGGGUGGGUAACGCGUAUCCAACCUGCCCACCACUUGGGGAUAACCUUGCGAAAGUAAGACUAAUACCCAAUGAUAUCUCUAGAAGACAUCUGAAAGAGAUUAAAGAUUUAUCGGUGAUGGAUGGGGAUGCGUCUGAUUAGCUUGUUGGCGGGGUAACGGCCCACCAAGGCAACGAUCAGUAGGGGUUCUGAGAGGAAGGUCCCCCACAUUGGAACUGAGACACGGUCCAAACUCCUACGGGAGGCAGCAGUGAGGAAUAUUGGUCAAUGGACGAGAGUCUGAACCAGCCAAGUAGCGUGCAGGAAGACGGCCCUAUGGGUUGUAAACUGCUUUUAUAAGGGAAUAAAGUGAGUCUCGUGAGACUUUUUGCAUGUACCUUAUGAAUAAGGACCGGCUAAUUCCGUG
RNAcentral lists this ribosomal RNA (492 nucleotides) under uncultured bacterium. RNAcentral's name for it is "partial 16S ribosomal RNA". It matches the Rfam family "Bacterial small subunit ribosomal RNA", at positions 28 to 507 of the family's 1533-position model. The record is from RNAcentral.